RNAcentral lists this ribosomal RNA (504 nucleotides) under uncultured Glomus. RNAcentral's name for it is "SSU rRNA". It matches the Rfam family "Eukaryotic small subunit ribosomal RNA", at positions 569 to 1078 of the family's 1831-position model. Lineage: Eukaryota; Fungi; Glomeromycota; Glomeromycetes; Glomerales; Glomeraceae. The record is from RNAcentral.
AGCAGCCGCGGUAAUCCCAGCUCCAAUAGCGUAUAUUAAAGUUGUUGCAGUUAAAAAGCUCGUAGUUGAAUUUCGGGAUCAAAUUGUCGGUCGUGCCUCGGUACGUACUGGCGUUAUUGGUUCCUCCCUUCUGAAGAACCGCGAUGUCAUUAAUUUGGUGUCGCGGGGAAUCAGGACUGUUACUUUGAAAAAAUUAGAGUGUUUAAAGCAGGCUCGCGCUUGAAUACAUUAGCAUGGAAUAAUGAAAUAGGACGUUUGAUUCUAUUUUGUUGGUUUCUAGGAUCGACGUAAUGAUUAAUAGGGAUAGUUGGGGGCAUUAGUAUUCAAUUGUCAGAGGUGAAAUUCUUGGAUUUAUUGAAGACUAACUACUGCGAAAGCAUUUGCCAAGGAUGUUUUCAUUAAUCAAGAACGAAAGUUAGGGGAUCGAAGACGAUCAGAUACCGUCGUAGUCUUAACCAUAAACUAUGCCGACUAGGGAUCGGAUGAUGUUAAUUUAAUGACUCA